UCACAAACACUGCUGAAGUCAGGAAAGGCCAGGCUCACACAAGCAGGUGCCCUCAGGUCCAAUCUAGCACACUGAGCCUCCCAAUGAUAGGAUGCCCAUUCCUCUGAACACCCGCCAACUCCUCGACCCACCUGAUUGCCAAAGACAGCCAUGGAGCAGGCUGUUGACACCUCAUUAGCCCCGAACCAGACGGAAGCAAUGCGGGAGGGCAUGCCCAGGAUGAACACCUGGGCCACAGAGCAGAUGAUCUGGCCUAGGACGGUGACGGGGAAGAGAUGUGGCUUCAGGCUACCCAACUUCACCCAGGCCCCCAGGCAGUUGAGAGCAGAGCCGGUGAGGGCGAUGGUGCGCAGGCCGAAUUUCUCCAGCAGCCAGGCCACCGGCAGGAGCAGAGGGAUGUAGGUCAGCAUGUAACACAUGGACAGCCAGUCGAUGGCAAAGGCGCUGACCCCGUAGAAGUUCAUGAAGAUGUUGUUGAUGGAGCCGUACUGGAUCCACUGGAAGGCGUUGCACAUGGAGUAGCAGCUGAAGAGCAGGACCACCACCCAGCGGCGCUUGCUCACCUUGAUCACGCUAAGCUCCUCGGGACACGAGCUACUGGGGUGGGCCAAGCCCCCGGGCUGGGCCAAGCUCUCAAGAACUCUUUUGUCUGCCCAGCAGGAGGGCACAUUUCCGGCGUUCUGGCCCUGGGUGCCACUCCUGGGCUCCGUGUUCCAGUGUUUGUGCACUGAUUCCAGAUGGCAGCACGUAAUCUCAAGUGGAUUUCCUGACAUGAAUGAUGCACCUUGGAGACAACCUUUGACAACUAAACAGAGAAGUUUCUGGAUUAACUUUGGGCAGAGUAAAGCAAGUGUUUGGUGAGACCAUCCUGCCUUCUAGAAGGUAUAAUGACAAGCUCAGCAGUCUCUCACCAGUGAUCUUCCAGAAGGAGCUAGACAGACUACCAGGCAGCAGUGGAAUUUGCCUAUAAAAAUUUCCCUAAUAAAUUCCUCUAAGAUGGGACGCCUGGGUGGCUCAGCAGUUGAGCGUCUGCCUUCGGCUCAGGGUGUGAUCCCAGGAUCUGGGAUCGAGUCCCAUAUUGGGCUCCUUGCGGGAAGCCUACCUCUCCCUCUGCCUAUGCC
Canis lupus familiaris (dog) is the source of this 1121-nucleotide long non-coding RNA. RefSeq lists it as uncharacterized. The transcript has 4 exons. Lineage: Eukaryota; Metazoa; Chordata; Mammalia; Carnivora; Canidae. The record is from RefSeq and is a predicted model, not a curated record.